RNAcentral lists this ribosomal RNA (789 nucleotides) under uncultured bacterium. RNAcentral's name for it is "bacterial SSU rRNA". It matches the Rfam family "Bacterial small subunit ribosomal RNA", at positions 8 to 796 of the family's 1533-position model. The record is from RNAcentral.
AGAGUUUGAUCCUGGCUCAGAAUGAACGCUGGCGGCGUGCCUAACACAUGCAAGUCGGAUGUGCCGCAAGGUGCAUGGCAGACGGGUGAGUAACGCGUAGGGAAUCUACCUUUUUGUGGGGAAUAACGAUCCGAAAGGAUUGGUAAUACCGCAUGUGAUCAUCGACUGGGAUGUUGGUGAUGAAAGCCGGGGACCGCAAGGCCUGGCGCUAGGAGAGGAGCCCGCGUCUGAUUAGUUAGUUGGUGGGGUAACGGCCUACCAAGACAUCGAUCAGUAGCCGGCCUGAGAGGGUGAUCGGCCACACUGGAACUGAGACACGGUCCAGACUCCUACGGGAGGCAGCAGUGAGGAAUAUUGGGCAAUGCCCGCAAGGGUGACCCAGCAACGCCGCGUGGAGGAUGAAAGCCGUAAGGUUGUAAACUCCUUUUGAAGAGGAAGAACAUUUUCGAUCGAAUCGAAAACUGACUGUACUCUUAGAAGAAGCCCCGGCUAACUACGUGCCAGCAGCCGCGGUAAUACGUAGGGGGCAAGCGUUGUCCGGAUUUACUGGGUGUAAAGGGCGCGUAGGCGGGUUUGUAAGUUAGAGGUGAAAUCCUGCAGCUUAACUGUAGAACUGCCUCUGAUACUGCAAAUCUUGAGUUCAGAAGAGAGUAGCGGAAUUCCAGGUGUAGUGGUGAAAUACGUAGAUAUCUGGAAGAACACCAGUGGCGAAGGCGGCUACUUGGUCUGCAACUGACGCUGAGGCGCGAAAGCGUGGGGAUCAAACAGGAUUAGAUACCCUGGUAGUCC